Molecule: long non-coding RNA, 1127 nt
Organism: Hypanus sabinus (Atlantic stingray)
Lineage: Eukaryota; Metazoa; Chordata; Chondrichthyes; Myliobatiformes; Dasyatidae
Exons: 3
Source: RefSeq, a predicted model, not a curated record
UGUGUGUGAGUGUGUGUGUGUGAGUGUGUGUGUGUGUGUGUGUGUGUGUGUGUGUGUGUGUGUGUGUGUGUGUGUGUGUGUGUGUGUGUGUGUGUGUGUGUGUGUGUGUGUAUAUAAUGUACCUGUGAUCUAAUGUUCUCUUGUUCUUUCCUUCCCCAUGUAAAGAUUGCAAGAUUGAGAUUGAACUCUGAGAAUGUGUGGUGUUUAUAAGGAGAUCCUAGCAGUCUUUGGAUACCUCUAAAGUUUUGCAGCCAACAAUAUACUUCAGCAGCGUAAUCAUUGUGGAACUGUCCAUCAUCUGGUGCACAGCAAGAUUUCACUAACAGUGAAGCAAUAACAACAAGGAACCAGCAAUGUUCAGUGAAGUGUAAUUAUUGCUCGGGACACUAUGAGAAACUCUCUUCUUCUUCAAAUUAGCUGUGGGAUCCAUCAUGUCCACCUAACAGGCAGUCCAGGCAUUGAUUUCACGUCUCAUCUGAAAGAUGGGAUCCACAUUAGUGCAGCCUGCCCCCAACCUUGGGAACGUCAAUCAUGAUUGUGCACUGAAAUCUCUGGAGCAGUGCUUGAACUUACUGAAUGAGAAGCAAAGCCCUACCAGAGAAGUUACAGCUGGCAGCAAAUUGUGCAAAUUCCCUGAAGAACGGUCUCGGCCCAAGAUGUUGACCGUUUAUUCAUUUCCAUAGAUGCUGCCUGACCUGCUGAGUUCCUCCAGCAUUUUGUGUGUGUUGCAGGAGUACGUGUUGACUGUGAAUGCAAGAAUUAAAAGUUUUGCAGGUUCUGCAGCUUUUUGAUCUUAACUGGCCCAUCGAGUCUGCUCUGCCAUGUGGAUCGUUUUUUCCUAUCUCCUCCUCAACCCCAGUUCCCGGCCUUCUCCCCGUAACCUUUGAUGCCAUGUCCAAUCAGGAACCUGUCAAUCUCAACACCCCACAAGUAGAUUCUUACAAAGGAUAGAUGGCAGUUUGUGAGUUCAUGUCAUCCAGAAGUCUGAUCACUAUGUUACUUGAAGAUCCUUUAGCACUCAAAGAGUGUCUCGGCAAACUUGGGGAUUGAGGUCACAGAGAUCUAUUAACAUAAUGAAUUUGCUCUAAUCUUUGUAUUUCAAACUUAGUGCUAAAUUAAAAACAAAA